Molecule: long non-coding RNA, 113 nt
Organism: Dermochelys coriacea (leatherback sea turtle)
Lineage: Eukaryota; Metazoa; Chordata; Testudines; Dermochelyidae
Exons: 3
Source: RefSeq, a predicted model, not a curated record
UUCAUGGGGCUGUAUAUUUACACCUGCCUACUGAAUUUUUCACUCCAUGCAUCUGAUGAAGUGGGUUUUUUUCUCACGAAAGCUUAUGCUCUAAUAAAUUUGUUAGUCUCUAA